GCCCCGAUAGCUCAGUGGCCAGAGCAACGGCUUUGUAAGCCGUAGGUCGCGGGUUCAAAUCCCGCCCGGGGCUCCA
Molecule: transfer RNA, 76 nt
Filed under: Candidatus Bathyarchaeota archaeon
Lineage: Archaea; Thermoproteati; Candidatus Bathyarchaeota
Also listed under: 1 other name
Description: tRNA-Thr
Rfam family: tRNA
About the family: Transfer RNA (tRNA) molecules are approximately 80 nucleotides in length. Their secondary structure includes four short double-helical elements and three loops (D, anti-codon, and T loops).
Source: RNAcentral